GGGAAUGUAGCUGAGUUGGUUUUAGCGUCAGGUUGAAGCCCUGAAGACACAGGUUCAAUUCCUGUUAUUCCCA
RNAcentral lists this transfer RNA (73 nucleotides) under Brunnivagina elsteri CCALA 953. RNAcentral describes it as "Calothrix elsteri CCALA 953 tRNA". It matches the Rfam family "tRNA". Rfam says of the family: Transfer RNA (tRNA) molecules are approximately 80 nucleotides in length. Their secondary structure includes four short double-helical elements and three loops (D, anti-codon, and T loops). Lineage: Bacteria; Bacillati; Cyanobacteriota; Cyanophyceae; Nostocales; Calotrichaceae. The record is from Rfam by way of RNAcentral.